GAAACCUGCCAAGGAGCAGAAUGACCCGCGAACCGGUUUUAACUACCACAGGGGGCGCAGGGCUCGGCGUCGCUGCGCCCCAUCCCGGGGCUGGNCAAGCCUCGCAGUAGCGAGGCGCGCCCUUCCCGGGAGCAACUAAUCCCGGCGCGGGUUGCGCCAAGGACCCUGAACAAUAGCGCGUCCCGCGGCAUCCGGUCCUCCGGUGCGCGCGGCGACGACGCGUCGUUUGUAGCGAGCUAACAGAACGACUCUCGGCAACGGAUAUCUCGGCUCUCGCAUCGAUGAAGAACGUAGCGAAAUGCGAUACUUGGUGUGAAUUGCAGAAUCCCGUGAACCAUCGAGUCUUUGAACGCAAGUUGCGCCCGAGGCCUACCGGCCAAGGGCACGCCUGUCUGGGCGUCACGCAUCGCGUCGCCCCANCCCCCCGCGGGGGGGCGAGGGGCGGAGAAUGGCCCCCCGUGCGUCACGGCGCGCGGCCGGCCUAAACGCAGGCCCCUUGGGCGCGAGAGGGCGCGACGACUGGUGGUGUGCGCGCGGCCCCGUGCCGCCGAGCAUCGCGUCGCGUCUUGCGCGGUCAGCGGGCGAUGGAAGGAGCCCUUGCGACCCCAGAUCAGGCGGGACCACCCGCUGAGUUUAAGCAUAUCAAUAAGCGGAGGAAAAGAA
This 663-nucleotide ribosomal RNA is filed under the name Calligonum molle. Its description in RNAcentral is "eukaryotic LSU rRNA". The stretch from base 247 to 402 matches the Rfam family "5.8S ribosomal RNA". The record is from RNAcentral. Lineage: Eukaryota; Viridiplantae; Streptophyta; Magnoliopsida; Caryophyllales; Polygonaceae.